Molecule: ribosomal RNA, 2043 nt
Filed under: Escherichia coli
Lineage: Bacteria; Pseudomonadati; Pseudomonadota; Gammaproteobacteria; Enterobacterales; Enterobacteriaceae
Description: partial 23S ribosomal RNA
Rfam family: Bacterial large subunit ribosomal RNA
Source: RNAcentral
AUAAUGGGUCAGCGACUUAUAUUCUGUAGCAAGGUUAACCGAAUAGGGGAGCCGAAGGGAAACCGAGUCUUAACUGGGCGUUAAGUUGCAGGGUAUAGACCCGAAACCCGGUGAUCUAGCCAUGGGCAGGUUGAAGGUUGGGUAACACUAACUGGAGGACCGAACCGACUAAUGUUGAAAAAUUAGCGGAUGACUUGUGGCUGGGGGUGAAAGGCCAAUCAAACCGGGAGAUAGCUGGUUCUCCCCGAAAGCUAUUUAGGUAGCGCCUCGUGAAUUCAUCUCCGGGGGUAGAGCACUGUUUCGGCAAGGGGGUCAUCCCGACUUACCAACCCGAUGCAAACUGCGAAUACCGGAGAAUGUUAUCACGGGAGACACACGGCGGGUGCUAACGUCCGUCGUGAAGAGGGAAACAACCCAGACCGCCAGCUAAGGUCCCAAAGUCAUGGUUAAGUGGGAAACGAUGUGGGAAGGCCCAGACAGCCAGGAUGUUGGCUUAGAAGCAGCCAUCAUUUAAAGAAAGCGUAAUAGCUCACUGGUCGAGUCGGCCUGCGCGGAAGAUGUAACGGGGCUAAACCAUGCACCGAAGCUGCGGCAGCGACGCUGAUGCGUUGUUGGGUAGGGGAGCGUUCUGUAAGCCUGCGAAGGUGUGCUGUGAGGCAUGCUGGAGGUAUCAGAAGUGCGAAUGCUGACAUAAGUAACGAUAAAGCGGGUGAAAAGCCCGCUCGCCGGAAGACCAAGGGUUCCUGUCCAACGUUAAUCGGGGCAGGGUGAGUCGACCCCUAAGGCGAGGCCGAAAGGCGUAGUCGAUGGGAAACAGGUUAAUAUUCCUGUACUUGGUGUUACUGCGAAGGGGGGACGGAGAAGGCUAUGUUGGCCGGGCGACGGUUGUCCCGGUUUAAGCGUGUAGGCUGGUUUUCCAGGCAAAUCCGGAAAAUCAAGGCUGAGGCGUGAUGACGAGGCACUACGGUGCUGAAGCAACAAAUGCCCUGCUUCCAGGAAAAGCCUCUAAGCAUCAGGUAACAUCAAAUCGUACCCCAAACCGACACAGGUGGUCAGGUAGAGAAUACCAAGGCGCUUGAGAGAACUCGGGUGAAGGAACUAGGCAAAAUGGUGCCGUAACUUCGGGAGAAGGCACGCUGAUAUGUAGGUGAAGCGACUUGCUCGUGGAGCUGAAAUCAGUCGAAGAUACCAGCUGGCUGCAACUGUUUAUUAAAAACACAGCACUGUGCAAACACGAAAGUGGACGUAUACGGUGUGACGCCUGCCCGGUGCCGGAAGGUUAAUUGAUGGGGUUAGCGCAAGCGAAGCUCUUGAUCGAAGCCCCGGUAAACGGCGGCCGUAACUAUAACGGUCCUAAGGUAGCGAAAUUCCUUGUCGGGUAAGUUCCGACCUGCACGAAUGGCGUAAUGAUGGCCAGGCUGUCUCCACCCGAGACUCAGUGAAAUUGAACUCGCUGUGAAGAUGCAGUGUACCCGCGGCAAGACGGAAAGACCCCGUGAACCUUUACUAUAGCUUGACACUGAACAUUGAGCCUUGAUGUGUAGGAUAGGUGGGAGGCUUUGAAGUGUGGACGCCAGUCUGCAUGGAGCCGACCUUGAAAUACCACCCUUUAAUGUUUGAUGUUCUAACGUGGACCCGUAAUCCGGGUUGCGGACAGUGUCUGGUGGGUAGUUUGACUGGGGCGGUCUCCUCCUAAAGAGUAACGGAGGAGCACGAAGGUUGGCUAAUCCUGGUCGGACAUCAGGAGGUUAGUGCAAUGGCAUAAGCCAGCUUGACUGCGAGCGUGACGGCGCGAGCAGGUGCGAAAGCAGGUCAUAGUGAUCCGGUGGUUCUGAAUGGAAGGGCCAUCGCUCAACGGAUAAAAGGUACUCCGGGGAUAACAGGCUGAUACCGCCCAAGAGUUCAUAUCGACGGCGGUGUUUGGCACCUCGAUGUCGGCUCAUCACAUCCUGGGGCUGAAGUAGGUCCCAAGGGUAUGGCUGUUCGCCAUUUAAAGUGGUACGCGAGCUGGGUUUAGAACGUCGUGAGACAGUUCGGUCCCUA